AAGUCGUAACAAGGUUUCCGUAGGUGAACCUGCGGAAGGAUCAUUCACACUUAAAGGAGUCUGAGCAGUCAAAUGCUUCAUUCUCUGAUUCUCCAAACCAAACCCAAUAUGCUACUGCUCCAAAAUAAGGCUCCCUUUGCUCUCUUCGGAGGACAAUGUAGGAGUAGUGCUUGUUUCUGACAAGCAUGCCUAAUCAACUGAUUUUAUUACCCCCCGCGUCGCUUGUGGAGCAUGCUCUGCUUGUGAUUGUCAUUCAGGACUAAGUCUGCUUCUCGUCGAAUUAAGCACUCGAUGUGGAAGCAUGUUCGACCAUACGAAACACUACACUGUUGUGUGCAAAAUACAACUCUUUGCAAUGGAUAUCUUGGUUCUC
This 373-nucleotide unclassified non-coding RNA is filed under the name fungal sp. RNAcentral's name for it is "partial internal transcribed spacer region". The stretch from base 1 to 46 matches the Rfam family "Eukaryotic small subunit ribosomal RNA", at positions 1786 to 1831 of the family's 1831-position model. Lineage: Eukaryota; Fungi. The record is from RNAcentral.